This 72-nucleotide transfer RNA is filed under the name Chondrus crispus (carragheen). Its description in RNAcentral is "tRNA-Glu". It matches the Rfam family "tRNA". Rfam says of the family: Transfer RNA (tRNA) molecules are approximately 80 nucleotides in length. Their secondary structure includes four short double-helical elements and three loops (D, anti-codon, and T loops). RNAcentral also lists the same sequence under 1 other name. Lineage: Eukaryota; Rhodophyta; Florideophyceae; Gigartinales; Gigartinaceae. The record is from RNAcentral.
GCUCCUAUCGUUUAAUGGUUAAGGCAAUGUUUUUUCGUGACAUAAAUGUGGGUUCGAAUCCCACUAGGAGUA